AGUGGGAUAACUGGGUCAAAUGGUUCCAUUCCAAGUUUUCUGAGGAAUCUCUUUACUUUUUUCCAUAGUGGUUGCACCAAUUUGUAGUCCCACCAGCAAU
This 100-nucleotide microRNA precursor is filed under the name Marmota monax (woodchuck). Lineage: Eukaryota; Metazoa; Chordata; Mammalia; Rodentia; Sciuridae. The record is from RNAcentral.